This 406-nucleotide ribosomal RNA is filed under the name uncultured Oscillospiraceae bacterium. RNAcentral describes it as "bacterial SSU rRNA". It matches the Rfam family "Bacterial small subunit ribosomal RNA", at positions 355 to 776 of the family's 1533-position model. Lineage: Bacteria; Bacillati; Bacillota; Clostridia; Eubacteriales; Oscillospiraceae. The record is from RNAcentral.
UGGGGAAUAUUGGGCAAUGGACGAAAGUCUGACCCAGCAAUACCGCGUGAAGGAAGAAGGCCCUCGGGUUGUAAACUUCUUUAGGCAGGGAAGAAUAAAUGACAUUACCUGCAGAAUAAGCCACGGCUAACUACGUGCCAGCAGCCGCGGUAAUACGUAGGUGGCAAGCGUUAUCCGGAAUUACUGGGUGUAAAGGGCGCGUAGGCGGGUACGCAAGUUAGAUGUGAAAACCCGGGGCUCAACUCCGGACCUGCAUCUAAAACUGUGUAUCUUGAGUGUCAGAGGGGAAAGUGGAAUUCCUAGUGGAGCGGUAAAAUGCGUAGAGAUUAGGAGGAACACCGGUGGCGAAGGCGACUUUCUGGCUGACAACUGACGCUGAGGCGCGAAAGCGUGGGUAGCGAACAGG